This 433-nucleotide ribosomal RNA is filed under the name uncultured bacterium. RNAcentral's name for it is "partial 16S ribosomal RNA". It matches the Rfam family "Bacterial small subunit ribosomal RNA", at positions 28 to 507 of the family's 1533-position model. The record is from RNAcentral.
AACGAACGCUGGCGGCAGGCCUAACACAUGCAAGUCGAGCGAGGACUUCGGUCCUAGCGGCGGACGGGGGAGUAACGCGUGGGAACGUGCCCUUUGCUUCGGAAUAGCCCUGGGAAACUGGGAGUAAUACCGGAUGAGCCCUUUGGGGGAAAGAUCUAUCGGCGAAGGGUCGGCCCGCGUUGGAUUAGGUAGUUGGUGGGGUAAUGGCCUACCAAGCCGACGAUCCAUAGCUGGUUUGAGAGGAUGAUCAGCCACACUGGGGCUGAGACACGGCCCAGACUCCUACGGGAGGCAGCGGUGGGUAAUCUUAGACAGUGGGGGGACCCCUGAUCUAGCCAUGCCGCGUGAGCGAUGGAGGCCGUAGUGUUGUACAGCUCUUUCAGCUGGGAAGAUAAUGACGGUACCAGCAGAAGAAGCCCCGGCUAACUCCGUG